UAAAUAACCUAAUGAGCCACUCCAAGCCUGCCUUGCCCGUACUCCUCCAAAACUCCACCCGGAUUUUAUCCGGCCUGGUCGCUUUUCCCCUGCUCAUCUUACGCAUAGCCCCCUUAACUUCAUCAUCUCUAAUCCACCUAUAAUACCCAAAGUCACAACGAUUCCCGGAAAGUUCCAAAUCACCCAGUACAGUGCUCUCGUCCCCCUCCUCAUUCAAGCGACUAUGAAAGUAGGCCUGCUAUCUCCGACGUAUAAGCCCCUCAUCCAACAAAACUCUACCUUCUUCGUCCUUGAUACACUUCACUUGGUCCAAGUCACGUGCCUUCCUUUCUCGCGCCUUGGCUAACAUGAACAACCUCUUAUCCCCACCUCCGCCCUCAAGUUCCUCAUACAAACGACUAAAAGUUGCAGUCUUGGCUGUCGUAACUGCCAGCUUUGCCUCUUUCUUAGCCAACUUAUAAUGUUCCCUAUUCGCCCUCUUCUCCUCCUCGUCUUCACUUUCCACUAGCUUCAGAUACGCUGCUUUCUUGGUUUCCACUUUUCCUUGCACCUCUACAUUCCACCAACAGUCUCCCUUGUGACCACUAGAGUAACCAUUUAGCUGCAGUCCUACUCAAAUGUUAGAUUGUAGUAUGGGUGACCAAGCAAGAGGUUUUUCAUUGAUUCAAAGCUGAUAAUUAUCAAGACUGAAAAAUAUCCAGCUCUAAUGUGUGCAUUCAAAAUCUAGAGCACCCUAUUGGCCAACUGAAUGCAGAUUUUAGUGCCAAAUAUAACAUUUUUUCUGUGCUGAGUCAACCAACAUUCUUAGCACAAGUGUUCAUCUGUGAGUAUUCUAGAUCCAUAUGAAGCAGUAAGUUAAACCAGUAACCGGGCUCUUUACCAGGAAUUUGGAGUGAUGAUUGCACUAGAAACUUGUCAUAUUAAGUUUGCUGUUGCAUGCAACAAGCCCUUAUGAGAAGCUUGUUCUGUGCAUGUGAUAAUCAAUUACAGUCAAAAUUUGGCUGCUGAAGAACUUGUGUCGUGCAGAACUUCUGCAUAUUUUCCUUCCUUGGUGAACAGUUCUUAUUUUGAUCUUAUACUAGGACAAAUAUGUAGAAAAUUAAGGACAAAUGUGUAGAAAAUUCAAGUCUACAGCACACUAAGUAUAAUGCAAACUUCCCUGGAUUAGUGUCUCUCUUGUCUUGUUCUUGAUAUGAAGCCGAUAUACAAACUAGAAAAUCGAGUGGUUCCCCCCUUCUUUUCCAUUUAUCAUUUGGUAGUGUAAAAUCAUAAAUGAUUCACCAAGGCUAGCCCUCUUACAAUAUAGACUAAAUAAACCGGGAAUGUCAAAAGCUGGAUUUUAUCGAAAACUUUGGUGUUGAGAGAUGGCCAUUCAGUGAUCAUAAGGAUGUCAGGGUCAAUUAGAAUUUGGAUUUGAGUCUACGUUUUGAUGGUUUCAGAUAAAUAUUUGCUUUGAACUUUCAAUCAGUCUAAUCACAGAGCUGACUUCCCCGUUUAAUGAAGCGUACACAACUUAGUGAAGAUAAUUGAAAACCAUAUGAUUGGCAGUUAAAACUUUGGCUGCCUUUAGUCUUCCUGGUUAUCAGAUUGCUUAUCUAAAACUUCGAUAAGCUCUGAGUGAUUUUCCGAUUUAGGAAGAGAUGAAGUUGUGAAUGUGAAAUACAUAUUGUGAUGGAUAUUUCCUAACAUCGCUUUUCCUUUUGUCCUUUCAGAUGGGAAAAAGAUCAGAAUUCCAGGACAUAGAUUACUGAGCAACAGACUUGUUAGGUGCCUAACAAAUGUUGAAGCAUUUAUAUUGCGAGCUGCAGAUCUUGAAGAAGUCACUAAUCUUUUCGCAAGAUUCUUGAGGAGUACACGUGUUCAAGGUGCCAUAAGGUAUGAAUCGCCAUAUUGGCGAGGGCUAGCAGCAAGGCGGAUACAAGUUGCCUGGAGAUACAGGAAGAAACGUCAAAGCCGAGCGGACUCUUCCAGCCCCCAACACUAAUAACAUUCUUACACUGUACUAUUUCACAAUAACUCGUUAGCUCUUCUGAAAUACAUUUAAAUAUAUAUUGUAAUUAUUUUAGUCUGUGUAUCCAGUUCUAUUUUUUGUAUGUAGUAUAGAAUAUAGUAGUGGUUGUCAUUCAGAACUCGGACUGAAUUUGUAUUGAAAUAAUCCAUAGAUUAACCCCAGAUGAUCAGUUGAUAAUAUUUAAAGA
Nicotiana tabacum (common tobacco) is the source of this 2198-nucleotide non-coding RNA. The record is from RefSeq and is a predicted model, not a curated record. Lineage: Eukaryota; Viridiplantae; Streptophyta; Magnoliopsida; Solanales; Solanaceae.